GACGAACGCUGGCGGCGUGCUUAACACAUGCAAGUCGAACGGAAAGGCCCUGCUUUUGUGGGGUACUCGAGUGGCGAACGGGUGAGUAACACGUGAGUAACCUGCCCUUGACUUUGGGAUAACUUCAGGAAACUGGGGCUAAUACCGGAUAGGAGCUCCUGCUGCAUGGUGGGGGUUGGAAAGUUUCGGCGGUUGGGGAUGGACUCGCGGCUUAUCAGCUUGUUGGUGGGGCAGUGGCUUACCAAGGCUUUGACGGGUAGCCGGCCUGAGAGGGUGACCGGCCACAUUGGGACUGAGAUACGGCCCAGACUCCUACGGGAGGCAGCAGUGGGGAAUAUUGCACAAUGGGCGGAAGCCUGAUGCAGCAACGCCGCGUGCGGGAUGACGGCCUUCGGGCUGUAAACCGCUUUCGCCUGUGACGAAGCGUGAGUGACGGUAAUGGGUAAAGAAGCACCGGCUAACUACGUG
Molecule: ribosomal RNA, 468 nt
Filed under: uncultured bacterium
Lineage: Bacteria
Description: partial 16S ribosomal RNA
Rfam family: Bacterial small subunit ribosomal RNA
Source: RNAcentral